This 428-nucleotide ribosomal RNA is filed under the name uncultured bacterium. RNAcentral describes it as "bacterial SSU rRNA". It matches the Rfam family "Bacterial small subunit ribosomal RNA", at positions 355 to 776 of the family's 1533-position model. The record is from RNAcentral.
UGGGGAAUCUUGGUCAAUGGGCGCAAGCCUGAACCAGCGACGCCGCGUGAGUGAUGAAGGCCUUCGGGUUGUAAAGCUCUGUGGGGAGGGACGAAAGACUGAGGUCUAAUAGGCUUCAGGUUGACGGUACCUCCUUAGCAAGCACCGGCUAACUCUGUGCCAGCAGCCGCGGUAAGACAGAGGGUGCAAACGUUGCUCGGAAUCACUGGGCGUAAAGGGCGUGUAGGCGGAGAGGUAAGUCGGGCGUGAAAUCCCCAAGCUCAACUUGGGAACUGCACUCGAAACUACCUUUCUUGAGUGUCGGAGAGGAAAGCGGAAUUCCUGGUGUAGAGGUGAAAUUCGUAGAUAUCAGGAGGAACACCAGUGGCGAAGGCGGCUUUCUGGACGAUAACUGACGCUGAGACGCGAAAGCGUGGGGAGCAAACAGG